RNAcentral lists this ribosomal RNA (272 nucleotides) under uncultured bacterium. RNAcentral's name for it is "partial 16S ribosomal RNA". It matches the Rfam family "Bacterial small subunit ribosomal RNA", at positions 524 to 793 of the family's 1533-position model. The record is from RNAcentral.
UACGUAGGGUGCGAGCGUUGUCCGGAAUUACUGGGCGUAAAGAGCUCGUAGGUGGUUUGUCGCGUUGUUCGUGAAAACUCACAGCUUAACUGUGGGCGUGCGGGCGAUACGGGCAGACUGGAGUACUGCAGGGGAGACUGGAAUUCCUGGUGUAGCGGUGGAAUGCGCAGAUAUCAGGAGGAACACCGGUGGCGAAGGCGGGUCUCUGGGACGGUACUGACGCUGAGACGCGAAAGCGUGGGGAGCGAACAGGAUUAAGAAACCCUAGGUAG